RNAcentral lists this ribosomal RNA (442 nucleotides) under uncultured bacterium. RNAcentral's name for it is "partial 16S ribosomal RNA". It matches the Rfam family "Bacterial small subunit ribosomal RNA", at positions 338 to 795 of the family's 1533-position model. The record is from RNAcentral.
CCUACGGGUGGCAGCAGUGGGGAAUAUUGGGCAAUGGGCGCAAGCCUGACCCAGCAACGCCGCGUGAAGGAAGAAGGCUUUCGGGUUGUAAACUUCUUUUAAGAGGGAAGAGCAGAAGACGGUACCUCUUGAAUAAGCCACGGCUAAAUACGUGCCAGCAGCCGCGGUAAUACGUAGGUGGCAAGCGUUGUCCGGGUUUACUGGGUGUAACGGGCGUGCAGCCGGGAAGACAAGUCAGAUGUGAAAUCCCGGGGCUCAACCGCGGAACUGCAUUUGAAACUGUUUUUCUUGAGUACCGGAGAGGUCAUCGGAAUUCCUUGUGUAGCGGUGAAAUGCGUAGAUAUAAGGAAGAACACCAGUGGCGAAGGCGGAUGACUGGACGGCAACUGACGGUGAGGCGCGAAAGCGUGGGGAGCAAACAGGAUUAGAUACCCUUGUAGUC